UACAGAGGUCUCAAGCGUUGUUCGGAAUCACUGGGCGUAAAGGGUGCGUAGGCGGCAUGGAAAGUCAGAUGUGAAAUCCGGAGGCUCAACCUCCGAAUUGCAUCCGAUACUACCAAGCUAGAGAGUUGUAGGGGAGCUUGGAAUUCUCGGUGUAGCAGUGAAAUGCGUAGAUAUCGAGAAGAACGCUCGUGGCGAAGGCGAGGCUCUGGGCAACAUCUGACGCUGAUGCACGAAGGCUAGGGGAGCAAACGGG
Molecule: ribosomal RNA, 253 nt
Filed under: uncultured bacterium
Lineage: Bacteria
Description: partial 16S ribosomal RNA
Rfam family: Bacterial small subunit ribosomal RNA
Source: RNAcentral